GACAGAGGGUGCAAACGUUGUUCGGAGUUACUGGGCGUAAAGGGCGCGUAGGCGGCGAUCCAAGUUAGGCGUGAAAGCCCCGGGCUUAACCUGGGAAUUGCGCUUAAGACUGGACUGCUUGAGUGCGGGAGAGGUGAGUGGAAUUCCCAGUGUAGAGGUGAAAUUCGUAGAUAUUGGGAAGAACACCAGUGGCGAAGGCGGCUCACUGGCCCGCAACUGACGCUGAGGCGCGAAAGCGUGGGGAGCAAACAGG
This 253-nucleotide ribosomal RNA is filed under the name uncultured bacterium. RNAcentral describes it as "partial 16S ribosomal RNA". It matches the Rfam family "Bacterial small subunit ribosomal RNA", at positions 524 to 776 of the family's 1533-position model. The record is from RNAcentral.